AGCUCAAAUUUGAAAUCUGGUGGCCUCAGGUCAUCCGAGUUGUAAUCUAUAGAAGUGUUUUCCGUGCUGGCCCAUGUACAAGUCCCUUGGAACAGGGCGUCAUAGAGGGUGAGAAUCCCGUCCUUGACAUGGACUACCAGUGCUCUGUGAUACACUUUCAACGAGUCGAGUUGUUUGGGAAUGCAGCUCAAAAUGGGUGGUAAAUUCCAUCUAAAGCUAAAUAUUGGCGAGAGACCGAUAGCGAACAAGUACCGUGAGGGAAAGAUGAAAAGCACUUUGGAAAGAGAGUUAAACAGUAUGUGAAAUUGUUGAAAGGGAAACGAUUGAAGUCAGUCGUGCUCAAUGGACUCAGCCGUUCUGCGGUGUAUUUCCAUUGGGUGGGGUCAACAUCAGUUUUGAUCGCUGGAUAAAGGCAGGAGGAAUGUAGCACCCCCGGGUGAACUUAUAGCCUCUUGUCACAUACAGUGGUUGGGACUGAGGAACGCAGCAUGCCUUUAUGGCCGGGAUUCGUCCACGUACAUGCUUAGGAUGUUGACAUAAUGGCUUUAAACGACCCGUCUUGAA
RNAcentral lists this ribosomal RNA (564 nucleotides) under Filobasidium uniguttulatum. RNAcentral's name for it is "LSU rRNA". It matches the Rfam family "Eukaryotic large subunit ribosomal RNA", at positions 106 to 658 of the family's 3401-position model. The record is from RNAcentral. Lineage: Eukaryota; Fungi; Basidiomycota; Tremellomycetes; Filobasidiales; Filobasidiaceae.